AAGACACUAGUAAAAUUGACUAUUACAUCACCUUGUCGAGGCGAAAUCGUGGGUUAAACCCCCGCGUGUCUUA
This 73-nucleotide transfer RNA is filed under the name Cephalopholis sexmaculata. RNAcentral's name for it is "tRNA-Asp". It matches the Rfam family "tRNA". Rfam says of the family: Transfer RNA (tRNA) molecules are approximately 80 nucleotides in length. The record is from RNAcentral. Lineage: Eukaryota; Metazoa; Chordata; Actinopteri; Perciformes; Serranidae.